UGCUUCAAUGCAGGGAGUUUGCUUGAGCCAGAGAACUGGUAUUCAUUCUUUUGUUCUUCCACUUGAUAUAGAGAAUUUUCUGAAAACAUCUCUGAUGGUAAC
Long non-coding RNA from Gavialis gangeticus (Gharial), 102 nucleotides. RefSeq lists it as uncharacterized. NCBI's taxonomy places the organism in Eukaryota, Metazoa, Chordata, Crocodylia, Gavialidae. The record is from RefSeq and is a predicted model, not a curated record. The transcript is spliced from 3 exons.